This 468-nucleotide ribosomal RNA is filed under the name uncultured bacterium. RNAcentral's name for it is "partial 16S ribosomal RNA". It matches the Rfam family "Bacterial small subunit ribosomal RNA", at positions 28 to 507 of the family's 1533-position model. The record is from RNAcentral.
GACGAACGCUGGCGGCGUGCUUAACACAUGCAAGUCGAACGGAAAGGCCCUGCUUUUGUGGGGUGCUCGAGUGGCGAACGGGUGAGUAACACGUGAGUAACCUGCCCUUGACUUUGGGAUAACUUCAGGAAACUGGGGCUAAUACCGGAUAGGAGCUCCUGCUGCAUGGUGGGGGUUGGAAAGUUUCGGCGGUUGGGGAUGGACUCGCGGCUUAUCGGCUUGUUGGUGGGGUAGUGGCUUACCAAGGCUUUGACGGGUAGCCGGCCUGAGAGGGUGACCGGCCACAUUGGGACUGAGAUACGGCCCAGACUCCUACGGGAGGCAGCAGUGGGGAAUAUUGCACAAUGGGCGGAAGCCUGAUGCAGCAACGCCGCGUGCGGGAUGACGGCCUUCGGGUUGUAAACCGCUUUCGCCUGUGACGAAGCGUGAGUGACGGUAAUGGGUGAAGAAGCACUGGCUAACUACGUG